This 327-nucleotide ribosomal RNA is filed under the name uncultured eukaryote. RNAcentral describes it as "partial 18S ribosomal RNA". It matches the Rfam family "Eukaryotic small subunit ribosomal RNA", at positions 1470 to 1796 of the family's 1831-position model. The record is from RNAcentral.
CCCUUAGAUGUUCUGGGCCGCACACGCGCUACACUGAAGGAGGCAGCGUGUACUCCUGGAUCGAAAGAUUUGGGUAACCCGCGAAUCUCCUUCGUGCUAGGGAUUGAGGUUUGCAAUUAUCCUUCAUGAACGAGGAAUUCCCAGUAAGUGCAAGUCAUAAGCUUGCGCUGACUACGUCCCUGCCCUUUGUACACACCGCCCGUCGCUACUACCGAUUGAAUGAUUUAGUGAGGGCUUCGGACUGGGACCGAUGCGGCUUUCGGGCUGCGUCGGUAUUCUGGAAAGAUGUCCAAACUGUAUCAUUUAGAGGAAGUAAAANUCGUANCA